GAAACUAGUUAAGUGGUGAAAUUCCUAAGGGAAUUGGUGAGAUUGGUUCACUUGAGGAGUUGGUUUUGGAAGCUAAUCAGCUUGAUGGACAUCUUCCUAAAAACCUAGGAAAUUUGAGCAACUUGAAGAGACUUGUUCUUAAUGCAAACAAUUUUACAGGCACAAUACCAGAAACGUUUGGAAAAUUAACGAAC
Molecule: long non-coding RNA, 194 nt
Organism: Quercus robur (English oak)
Lineage: Eukaryota; Viridiplantae; Streptophyta; Magnoliopsida; Fagales; Fagaceae
Exons: 3
Source: RefSeq, a predicted model, not a curated record